Non-coding RNA from Paramuricea clavata, 643 nucleotides. The record is from the annotation of a GenBank genome assembly. Lineage: Eukaryota; Metazoa; Cnidaria; Anthozoa; Malacalcyonacea; Plexauridae.
CAUGAAACCCCCAGAAUCACUGUGACACAACAAUUUGAAAGGUGAGAAAGUCUCAGCCAGUACUCGAGCCAGGGAAGCAUUAAUUGUUUUGUUGGGCUUAAAUAGACGCGAUAGCUUUGUCUUGUCGGUUUGUUGCCUCUCUUUUAUCAUCAUCAUCAACCUUCUUGUAUUCGCUGGCAAAACACUCGCUGAAAAAGCUACUCAGGUAAGACAAAACUCGUGUUUCUAGCCAGCUUUCCUUCGUACGAGGCUGAGCACCCAAUUGUAUUCUUAUUAGAAGCCAAAAAAUUAAUAUCUUUGCAUCCUUUUGUUGUUUAGAAGAUAUAGUUCGCUGUUUCAAUAUUGGGAAAGAGACUUAAACGGCAGUUUAUCCAACGAAAGAGUAAGGUAUUGUAGUAGAGUUUUUCGCUAAUACUUUAUCGAAGUAUUUAGGAGAAAAGACUUUCUUUGGACAAGGAAAAUUAUUAUGAAAUUGUGUGGAACACUGGAACAACGUAAUAUAACCUCAAUUCAUGCAUUACGUUGUUCGUAUAUUUUGAAUAUUUUCUUUAUAUUUCUCGUGAAAUAUGGUAUCAGAAUUCAUCGCUUUUUGUUUAAAAUUGUAGCACGAGUUCACUUGCGAGGAAUUCAUAUCUAUUCCGUG